RNAcentral lists this ribosomal RNA (254 nucleotides) under uncultured bacterium. Its description in RNAcentral is "partial 16S ribosomal RNA". It matches the Rfam family "Bacterial small subunit ribosomal RNA", at positions 524 to 776 of the family's 1533-position model. The record is from RNAcentral.
UACGAAGGGGGCUAGCGUUGUUCGGAAUCACUGGGCGUAAAGCGCACGCAGGCGGAUUGAUAAGUCAGGGGUGAAAUCCCGGAGCUCAACUUCGGAAUUGCCUUUGAUACUGUCUGUCUUCGAGUUCGGGAGAGGUUGGCGGAAUUCCUAGUGUAGAGGUGAAAUCCGUAGAUAUUAGGAAGAACACCAGUGGCGAAGGCGGCCAACUGGCCCGAUACUGACGCUGAGACGCGAAAGCGUGGGGAGCAAACAGG